UAGGGAGGUUCUGUAUUUAUUGGUAAUAAACUCUCAGUUUGUGUUUGUCUAGAGGAAAGGUCUUUAGUUUCUCAUUUGUAAAAUAUGUUUUUCUGAGUAAUUGAAUCUAAACAGUUAUUUUGCUUCAGCAGUUCGAAGAUAUUCUAUUUAUUUUGGCCUUCAUCAUUGUUGUUAGGAAUUCUGUCAGUACAGGUGUUAUUCCCUGUCAGUGGCUAACCACUUGAAAUGCAUACUCCGGGGAGGACUUCAACUUUGAGCGUACUGAUCUCCAUCAAUAUCAUGGUAUCUGCUUCAACAAAUACGUUACCUGUGGAAAGAAAGCAGAAAAGCAUCACACCUCCUGUGGAAGCUUCAACAAAUAUGUUACUUGUGGAAAGAAAGCAGAAAAGCAUCACACCUCCUAUGGAAGCCAACACUUCUCUGUCUGUAUUUGUGGAUACAAGGGCUGUGCUUCAUUGCCCUAAUGCCACCUCGAAUGUUCUGGUAGUAACAUGGUCAGUAAUCUUCAGAGACAACACUUCCUGCAUCAGAGCCUACAGGACAGAUAGCAACAAGACCAGGGAAAAAACUUGUACAGACGAGAGAAUAUCCUGGGACUCCAGACCUGAUCAGAACUUUGCCCUUCGGAUUAAUCCCGUGGCCAUCACUCAUGAAGGAUAUUACAAGUGUGAAGUGGUCACACCUGAUGGGAAUUUCUGUCAUGGGCAUCACCUCCAAGUGUUAGUGCCCCCUAAGGUGACCCUGUCUCUAGGCGAGAAUGGAACUACCGUGUGCUGGGCAGUUGCAGGGAAGCCAGCUGCACAGAUCUCCUGGACCCCAAUGGGAGAUUGUCACACUGUGGAAGAACGACUGGGCAAUGACACAGUGACCGUGCAGAGUACAUGCCACUGGGAGGACCGCCAGGUGUCUGAGGUGUCCUGCUUUGUCUCCCAUGUGACUGGCAACAAGAGUCUGUCCAUAGAGUUGAAUCAAGGUGCCAUAACUCUGGAAUUUCCAGCAUCAGCCUUACUGGUCAUUCUCUAUGUGAAAUUCUCUUUAUUCUUGGUUAUUAUCCUGGUCAUCGUGGGAUUCACCUAUUUCCAGAGAAUAAAUCAUUGCAGAGCAUGAAAACUGAAAAAUCUGGAAGUCAAUUUAGAUUUGAUGGAACACCAUGAAAAAGCAGCUGGUUAAGAUCAACCUUUGGGUUCAACAUCUAACUCAACUGCUCCAAUUCUAUUUAGUACCUUUGUGUUUAUGUGAAUCAAUGUGAUAGUUGGCAAAUCCUGUUUCAAACUCUUAGCAUACGUAUAUUUAUGCACAUGCCAAAGCUUGCUGCCUGCCUUUGUAAAUGUCUGGGAUGACUCAUCUACUUUCCUCUUUGUCUUACUGAAUUCUUAUUUGCAAACAGGAGAUAGCCCUGCUUCUCAGCCUAAAGAGGAAGAUGGUUCAGCAAAUGGCAAAUUACAAAGCUCCGCAGGUUUUCUACACCCCUUGAGUUCUUUGGAACCUCCCAUCCUUUUCUUACUAGCAAUUAGUCUGGUUGUCGUACUGCAUGUUUGGCCCAAUCAUUGAAUAAAUGAUGAGGAGUCAUUUUCAAUAGUACCUUUAUUUUUGAAGAAAUUAUAAGUUAACCCCAAAUAAGGACUCUUAGAGUUAUGGGAGACAGUGCUGAAUGUCACCUCAUCUUUUAGAGCUCAGCCGUCUCAAGUAGUCCACACUGGAAUGGAUUAAUGGUAAGAUUUCUUGGUGAAACCCCAAUAUUUUCUAGGGCCACAGUAAACUGGAACCCUAUCUUGAUUGAUUGAUAUGGUUACCCUAUAGUAAAAAGUGUCCUUUUAUUUAAAGGAAAAAUUUCUUGUAUAAGUUGGCACGUGAUUCAAGCUAUUGUUUUUUUAGCAAGGCUCCAAGGGAGAAAAUGAAUGCAUACUACUAUCUGGAAGAUAAUAUAUAAGUAGGAUAGUCUAAUUGUUAAAACAAACAACCUCCCAAUCUCAGUGUAUUCAUAAUCACAAAAAUUUAAUUCUUCCUCACUCCAUAUCCCAGGGAAGGAUUUUGAUCUAGAGCAGGGAACAGGAGUGGUUCUGCUGUAAGUGAGCACUUUAUCCUAUAUCUCUGCCCUUCUCAGAGUAUUCUCCUUUCAGCUGGUGAGUGUGAAAGAGAAAGGGAGAAUGGGGGAUUUUUAUGUAGGAGGUUUUUAUGAGCCAGGCCUGGAGUAGUAAUAAUAUCUGCUCAUGUUCUAUUGGCUAGUAUUUGUCACACAGCCACACUAAAUUCUAUGGAAUUUGGAGAAUGUAGUGUAACUGCCUCAGCAGAAAUAGAGUCAGGGUUUGGGUACAGAUAGCUAGUCCAUGCCUACAGUAAAGGAUAGGACAAAUGCUAAGAUUAAUACUUAAUUCAUCAGUAACUCAACAUGAACCAAGAAAUAAACUAGUAAAUAAUUUCAUAUAUAACUUA
Molecule: long non-coding RNA, 2433 nt
Organism: Canis lupus familiaris (dog)
Lineage: Eukaryota; Metazoa; Chordata; Mammalia; Carnivora; Canidae
Gene: CD200R1L
Product: cell surface glycoprotein CD200 receptor 1
Exons: 8
Source: RefSeq, a predicted model, not a curated record